Molecule: ribosomal RNA, 253 nt
Filed under: uncultured bacterium
Lineage: Bacteria
Description: partial 16S ribosomal RNA
Rfam family: Bacterial small subunit ribosomal RNA
Source: RNAcentral
UACGUAGGGUGCAAGCGUUGUCCGGAAUUAUUGGGCGUAAAGAGCUUGUAGGCGGUUUGUCGCGUCUGCUGUGAAAUUUCGGGGCUCAACCUCGGGUCUGCAGUCGAUACGAGCAAACUAGAGUGUUGCAGGGGAGACUGGAAUUCCUGGUGUAGCGGUGAAAUGCGCAGAUAUCAGGAGGAACACCGGUGGCGAAGGCGGGUCUCUGGGCAACAACUGACGCUGAGGAGCGAAAGCGUGGGGAGCGAACAGG